Non-coding RNA from Odocoileus virginianus texanus, 374 nucleotides. The record is from RefSeq and is a predicted model, not a curated record. NCBI's taxonomy places the organism in Eukaryota, Metazoa, Chordata, Mammalia, Artiodactyla, Cervidae.
CUCAUGAUCUGGUCCUGUUGUAUUUUCAGCUCCCAGUGCAGGGCCUGGUCCAAUGCUGGUGUCAAUUAAUGUCCCCUGGAUUGAUUCAUCUAAUUGGAAUGCCCCAGUUAUUUACAGUUUUGAAAAAUGAGGUCAUCUCAUUAAAAUCUCACAACAACCCUGUGAGGGAGGCAGGCCUAUAUCAUCAACCUCAUUGUUCGGAUGAAGAAAUUGAAUUUUAGGUCCAUCCAGUGUCUACAAAUGGACUUCAGAUGAAGCGUCCUGAGAGCAAGCUUUUAAUUAGUUAGGAGUCCAGAGACUUUAAUGAUGGAGGAAGGAGAGCGACAACAACUCUCACCCCAAGGAGAGCAAAACACACAUGUCAACCUGAGCUC